RNAcentral lists this long non-coding RNA (4578 nucleotides) under Gossypium raimondii (Peruvian cotton). RNAcentral describes it as "long non-coding RNA (GRAI_LNC007560)". The record is from RNAcentral. Lineage: Eukaryota; Viridiplantae; Streptophyta; Magnoliopsida; Malvales; Malvaceae.
UCUCCAGCAAUAGCCUAUCAGGUAGUUUGCCUAAUGAUAUGUGUCAACAUCUUCCCAAGCUUGAAGGGCUUCACCUGAGUUGGAAUGAAUUAUCUGGUAACAUUCCAUUUGGCAUGGGCAAAUGCAACAACCUUAAAAAUUUGUAUUUGUCUUUGUCUUAUAAUCAAUUUACGGGGAUCAUUCCAAGAAGUUUUGGAAAUCUAACACGGCUCCAAUUAUUAUUUUUGGGGUUUAAUAAUCUAGAAGGUAAUCAAUUUCCUUGAUUUCUUGAAUUUAAAGUUUUUUUUUUUUAUAAAAGAGUUUGAUUUGUAAUAGAUAACAAAAGGAAAAACUUUUUAUUUCAUUUGAUGAAAAAUAUAUGCUGAAAUAUAUUAAAAUCUAACAUCUCCAAAUUACUGUAGAACAAAAAAGAAAAACCUCUUUGACUUAUGCUAACAAAAUAGGUAGUUUGACACCUUAAUUUUUCGACUAUGUGUGCAGGUCAAAUUCCUGAGGAAAUCGGUAAUCUUCUUGGUUUGGAAAUGCUUAGUAUUACAGCAAUUAAAGGCCUUACAGAUCAGAUUCCAACUUCGAUCUUCAACAUUUCUUCUCUAAAGACCGUUGAUCUCUCCAACAAUAGCCUAUCAGGUAGUUUGCCGAAUGAUAUAUGUCAACAUCUUCCCAAGCUUGAAGUGCUUUAUCUGGGUUGGAAUGAAUUAUCUGGUAAUAUUUUUUUCACAAAAGAGUUUGAUUUGUAAUAGAUAACAAAAGUAAGAGCAUUUUAUUUCAUUCAAGGCAAAAUAGUUAAUUUGAUGGAAAAAAAAUAUGCUUAAAGUAUUUUUAGUUGAACAGUUUAGAAGGUAUGUUUUUCACUUCUAUUUUCGACUAUGUGUGCAGGUCAGAUUCCAUCAAGUAUUUUUAAUUCAACUACGCUCGAAGCAAUAGAUCUAUUUAACAACAAACUAGAAGGUAUGUUUGUCACUUUAAUUUUUUCCAAACUCCAAAAACAUUGUGUUGAAUUUGUUUCUUCUAUUUAUGCCAUAUACUUUUAUCAUUUUAAUCUGAUAAUAAACAAUAAGAUUUAUAUGAAUUGACUUAUUUUUAAUUUUUUAAUUUCCAUUAAACUUUAAAAAAUAAAUUAUUUGAGGGUACUUUAGUUUUUUAUUUUAAAAAAUUAUGGUGAUAUUUGAAUCCACAUCAAUACAUAAAACCUUAAAUUUAUCACUUAAAUUUAUGAUGUCACAAAUUAACUCGAUACCAACUUAGGAAUUGACAACAACAUCAUCAUAAAUAACUGUAUUCAUUUAGUAUUCUUAAUUUGAUGUAUUCAUAUGUUUAAAUUAUGUUUUACUUACAGUUUAAUCUAUUUUUAUUUUAAUAUGGUAGAUAUGCCAUGUGUUAUUAUUAAAUAGUUUCAAAUUAUGCAUUUCAUUAUUUAUCAUAAGUUAUUUUAAAACACAAAUUUCUGUUCUAAAUAAGUGGUUCUCAUACACGAAUAUGUAUGAUAAAGUUUCUAAUUAUAAUUUAAGUAUAAAGUAAUUCAAUAUAAAUUUUAAAUUUUUAUUAUAUAUUUUUUAAAAUAAUAUUUUAAUAGAAUCAAAAUUGUUAUUUAUAAGGAUGCUAAAUUUUCUUAUGAAGUGAAUUUAUUUAACCAAAUAUUUUAGUAAAACCAAAAUUCUUAUCCAUACAUAUGAUAAAUCUUAAAAGUAAUAAAAACUAUAUAAAAUAAUAAAUUCAAUAAUAUAGUAAACAACAAAGACUAUAUAAUUAUCAGUUCAAAAAUUUCUCAAAAUCCAUACAUUUAUAUAUAUAUUAUAGAUAUAUUUUUAAUGGCUUAAUGCAUAGUUUAUUCCCUACAGCAUAUUCCUUUUUUUUUUUAACUUUGGCCCUUAAUGUUUUUUUGCCCACUUUAGUACCUACUAUUAUCAAACAUUCCUAGUGUAGUCUCUAACAUUAUCCGGUGUUCUUGGUUUAGUCCAUUGGACGUUAAAAAAAUAGAUUGAGAUAUCCAACUAACCAUAAAUUGCCAUGUGGCAUAUGACGACAUCAUGAUGGCAUCAUCAUCUAAAAAAAACCAAAAAAAUCUUUAAAAUUUCAAAUAAAAUUAUAAAAAAUAACUACAUUAUAAAUCUAUAAUUGUUUUAAAAAAUAAAAAUUUAUUAAUUUUUAAAUUUGUAAUAAAUAAUAAAAUUAUUAAAAAUUGUUAGAAAUGUUUAAAUAUUGUAAAAAUUUAUAAAAAUUUAUUAGAAAUUAUAAAAGACGAUAAAAAUUAAAAAAAAGAGUUAAAAACUAGUAAAAAUUGUGUAACUUGAAAUAAAGUAUAUAUUCGCUAAUAUUUUUAAAAAAAAAUUAAAAAUUUGAUAUUAAAAUUGUAUAUUGUGGUACAAUCAAUUUUUAUAAAAAAAUAUUUUAGUAAAUUUUUAAUAUUUUAAAAUAUAUCAAAUUUUAGUACUUUACCAACUCCCCAAUUCAUAAAUAGGAGGAUAAUGCAAUUCAACAUACUUGAAUCCACAUUCUCCUAUAUUGGCAACAAUGCACAUGCCAAUCAGUCUAAGACUUAAUCGAUAAUUCUUUAGAAUAAUUAAAUAUGCAACAAUAGUUCUUAAGAUAUUGGUCUAGACACAAAUAAUUUAUCUUGAAAUAGUAAAACAAUAUUUGGAAUAAUUAAAAACAUAGAUAUCAAGUUUUUUUUUUUAUUUUUCAAAAUGCCAUACUAACACAAAAACUUUUUAACAGUGUUAAUAAAUGAACCUAAAAUUUUCAAUUCAAAAAGUAGAGAGACUAAAUCACAGAAAAUAAAAAAUAUAAAGAUUAAAUUUCAAAUAUAUGAAAAAUACAAAAAUUUUGAGCGAAUAAUAAUCUUUAAAUUUUACAGUAUAAUUUAAUAUAAAUAAAUAAUUAACCCAAUAGAUAAAAAUCAUACCAGUUUACAUUAAAAACAAUGGCUUUAACAUUUUUGUUUCCCAAAUCAUAACUAAUUAUUAUUCAGUGUCAGUCUCAUUUUUAAGAUUGAUUAGAUGCCACAUUCUCAUGCCAAACUUUUAUUUUUAUUUUUUUUCAAGUUUUACAAUAUUUUAAAAAUUUAUUAGUGUAUUAUAGGUUUUGUCUAUACAAAUCACAAGGACUAAUUACUACUCAAAACUUCUUAUUAUGUCUCAACUUUCUAAUUGAUUUCAUCACAUUUUUCCAUGCCAAAAUUUUAUUCUUAAUUGAUUUAAAGUUUUACAGUUUUUAUUUUAAUGUAUUAUAUAUUUUGUGAAUUUGGUAUUCAAUGACUAUGUAUACUAAAAGAUGCUAUUUUACAGGUAAUUUACCGCCCAUCACCAAUGUUCCAAAGCUAGAGUUUCUUUUUUUGUGGGGAAAUAAACUCUAUCUCCAAUGCUUCCAUACUUAAGAUACUAGACUUGGGAGAUAACUUAUUCUCUGGCCCAAUCCCCAAAACGCUUGUCAACUUAAGACACCUUGAACCAGGGAUUCAAAUAGCGGUCCGAUAUCAGAAUAGCGGCCGUUAUAUAGCGGUAGCGGCACCGUCUGAAACCGCUUUUGCUAAAAAUAGCGGUGUGAAGCGGAGUCACGCCAAUAGCGGUGGGUCGCGGCCGCAAUUUACCGCGUAACGGCCAAUUGAGGCAAUAACGGGCCGCUAUUCCCGUUAUUUUUCGUUACAGUAAAUUAAAAAAAAGUCAUCCCCUCAAACAAAAAUAUCAACAAAAACAGUGAAAAACAAAAGGGAAUAUAUUCCCCUACCUGCAAAGUGCAAAAUCAGAGAGCUUUCAAUCAAAAAAAGUAAAAAGAAGUCAAAAAAAAAAACAGAAAAAAGUAAUCAAAAGUUUCAAAACUCAAAAGCAAUAGAAAAAGAAAUAUGAAAUUCUGUUUCUUAUAUAUGGGCAAACAACAAGUAGCAGAUGAAAUGAAAGCAAGGAGGAGCUGACUGCCGAGGACUUGAAUCUGAAAAGCAAGCCCUGCCGGCCUGCCCUAAUCACUUGCACAUUCAGACUUCAGAGAUCGAUAAUUUUCAAGUAAGUAGUACCUGAAAUUUUGUCUUGAUUUUUGCUUAUUUGUCUUGAAUCUGCAGUGCAGUGCAAAUAUGUUCUUUAGAAUUGACUAUUGAGGACACCAUUUGAAGUUUGAAGUUUCAACAACAGUAGAGAUAGAGAUUCGACCAUUUUUGUUGAGAUGAGUUGGAGGCUUUUGGAGCCUUGGAGGCUACUGGUUAGGGUGUUACUUGUUAGGGUUAGGGAAUAGAUUAGAAAGAAAAGAAUCGUUUCAUUUUCUUUUAUUUUUUCUGUUUUUUGUUUUGGAUUGUGGCUUUAUUGAUUUGGCAAUUGGCAUGCUGAUGAGCUGCUCUGUUUUGUUUCUUCUUUGACUCUUAUUUUACUCAUUAAUUAGGGGCAGCCACCGUCCAUUUUAACCACUAGAAAAUAGGCAUGUAAAUUGUGCUUUUAUCCACCUGUCAAUUGUUAAAAAUUGUCUUAAAAUAAUUAUUAGAAAAUUUCUUUAUUAAAUUUAAAAAUACAUAUAUAAAUUUCUGGACACAAUUUUUAAUAUGACAUGUACUUUAUAGUUAAUUUUCCCCUUAAGUCCCUUGAGUAAAUAUAAAUG